CUCGCGCACGUUUCGCAAUCUGCCCUCAUCCCAAUAACAUGUGGUGCUGGUGUUUUGUCCGGAGGGUUUAUUCUUUGCCACGGCACCGAGGAUUACUGAUCGUCACAGCUGGAAUAUAAAUCAGAGUUUAAGAAUUAAGUAACAGGGAGACCUCCAGAGGGAUGUCCCAGCUUAGUGUUAACUACGGGGUAUGGACUUUGGAGCCACUCGGGACUCGGCCUUUCUUUACUCAAGGAUGCCACAGAGGAGAGAAACAGACCUUGUGACGUGAUUGAAAGAUGCUGGACAGCUACAAAGGACAACAGGUUGGGAGAUGGAUUUUGUCUAAAGACCAGAACAAGACCUCAACUUUACUUCGGCGAUACCUCAAAAUGGCUGAAUGUGCAUCACAAGUAAAUUGAAUUGCAAAUCCUUGAUCGAGUGUCGCUCUUUUCUAUGUUAUUAAAUCUCAGUCAAUCUCUGUCAGCCGAACUGAUUUCAGAUAUGGGAUAUAGGAGUCAGAUCUGGUGAGUAGUAUAUGUGGAAAGGAGCUUUAUUCAAAGGUGCGCUGUAGGUUCUAUAAUUAGAACAUAAUAAACCAUCGAACUAAACAGUUAAGCUAGCCACAAAGAGUCUUGCCCAAAGGUCAACGCUAGAUUCAACGAGAUAAAACUCUGGCCUAGAGCAUGAUAAUACGUUGGUUGUUUCCAAAAAGGGAAAAGAAAAGCAUCUCCCAAUCUAUAAAACAAAGAUAUCCGUUAAAUGGGAUGCAUUCAAUUAUCAUGUAAUCUGCUGUAGGGAAGCUUUCUAAAAUUAAGACUUUAUA
Molecule: long non-coding RNA, 805 nt
Organism: Gasterosteus aculeatus aculeatus (three-spined stickleback)
Lineage: Eukaryota; Metazoa; Chordata; Actinopteri; Perciformes; Gasterosteidae
Source: RefSeq, a predicted model, not a curated record